Molecule: transfer RNA, 76 nt
Filed under: Escherichia coli
Lineage: Bacteria; Pseudomonadati; Pseudomonadota; Gammaproteobacteria; Enterobacterales; Enterobacteriaceae
Also listed under: 21 other names
Description: tRNA-Asn
Rfam family: tRNA
About the family: Transfer RNA (tRNA) molecules are approximately 80 nucleotides in length. Their secondary structure includes four short double-helical elements and three loops (D, anti-codon, and T loops).
Source: RNAcentral
UCCUCGAUAGCUCAGUCGGUAGAGCAAUCGGCUGUUAACCGAUCGGUCGUAGGUUCGAGUCCUACUCGGGGAGCCA